Molecule: ribosomal RNA, 1275 nt
Filed under: Chryseobacterium sp.
Lineage: Bacteria; Pseudomonadati; Bacteroidota; Flavobacteriia; Flavobacteriales; Weeksellaceae
Description: bacterial SSU rRNA
Rfam family: Bacterial small subunit ribosomal RNA
Source: RNAcentral
AAAAUGCGGAGCUACCAUGCAGCCGAGCGGUUACAUUCUUCGGAUUCUAGAGAGCGGCGUACGGGUGCGUAACAUGUGUGCAACCUACCUUUAUCAUGGGAAUAGCCUUUCGAAAGGAAGAUUAAUACUCCAUAAUAUAUGUCUUGGCUUCUGGUGAUUGUGAAAACUCCGGUGGAUAGUUAUGGGCAUGCGCAGCACUAGAUCGCGGGUGAGGAAACGGCUCACAUUGUCUAUGAUCCUUAUGGGUUCUGAUAGGGAGAUCCCCCACAUUGGUCCUGAGACACGGACCAAAUCUAUACGGGAGGCAGCAGUGAGGAAUAUUGGACAAUGGGUGAGAGCCUGAUCCAGCCAUCCCGCGUGAAGGAUGACGGUCCUAUGGAUUGUAAACUUCUUUUGUAUAGGGAUAAACCUAGAUACGUGUAUCUAGCUGAAGGUACUAUACGAAUAAGCACCGGCUAACUCCGUGCCAGCAGCCGCGGUAAUACGGAGGGUGCAAGCGUUAUCCGGAUUUAUUGGGUUUAAAGGGUCCGCAGGCGGACCGAUAAGUCAGUGGUGAAAUCUCAUAGCUUAACUAUGAAACUGCCGUUGAUACUGUCGGUCUUGAGUAAAUUAGAGGUAGCUGGAAUAAGUAGUGUAGCGGUGAAAUGCAUAGAUAUUACUUAGAACACCAAUUGCGAAGGCAGGUUACCAUAAUUUAACUGACGCUGAGGGACGAAAGCGUGGGGAGCGAACAGGAUUAGAUACCCUGGUAGUCCACGCCGUAAACGAUGCUAACUCGUUUUUGGGGCGCAAGCUUCAGAGACCAAGCGAAAGUGAUAAGUUAGCCACCUGCGGAGUGCGUUCGCAAGAAUGAAACUCAAAGGAAUUGACGGGGGCCCGCAGCAGCGGUGGAUUAUGUGGUUUAAUUCUAUGAUACGCGAGGAACCUUACCCACGACUUAAAUGCGAAAUGACCGGUGUAGAAAUAGACCUUUCGGCAAGAACAUUUUUCAAGGUGCUUGCAUGGAUAGUCGUCGGCUCGUGCCCUCGACGUGUUAAGAGUUAGGUUCAUGCAACGACCGCAAACCCCUGCCACUACUUGCGUAACAUUGCAGUGAGAGUUCUUAGUGAGACUGCCUUACUGCAGUUCAGACAGGCAGCUGAGGAUGAACGUCAAGAUCAUCCAGGACCCUUACGUCUUGGGUCGAGAUCGUUAUACGAAUGACCGUUACAAGUCAGCUUACACGUGCAAGUUAUGCCAGCUACAAACGCCAGGACUACGAUGCGCAGACUGCAC